Molecule: ribosomal RNA, 437 nt
Filed under: uncultured bacterium
Lineage: Bacteria
Description: bacterial SSU rRNA
Rfam family: Bacterial small subunit ribosomal RNA
Source: RNAcentral
CAGGCCUAACACAUGCAAGUCGAACGGUGGUCUUCGGGUCAUAGCGGUGCACUGAUGCGUAACGCGUGGGAAUCUGCCCUGGGGUUGGGAAUAGCGGCUGGAAACGGCCGGUAAUACCUGAUGAUGUCGAAAGACCAAAUAUUUAUCGCCCUGAGAUGAGCCCGCGUCGGAUUAGCUACUUGGUGGGGUAAAGGCCUACCAAGGCGACGAUCCGUAUCUGGUCUGAGAGGAUGAUCAGCCACACUGGGACUGAGACACGGCCCAUACUCCUACGGGACGCAGCAGUGGGGAAUAUUGGACAAUGGGCGCAAGCCUGAUCCAGCAAUGCCGCGUGAGUGAUGAGCGCCUUAAGGUUGUAAAGCUCUUUUACCCGGGAAGAUAAUGACUGUACCGGGAGAAUAAGCCCCGGCUAACUCCGUGCCAGCAGCCGCGGUAAU